Molecule: ribosomal RNA, 332 nt
Filed under: Ixodes scapularis (black-legged tick)
Lineage: Eukaryota; Metazoa; Arthropoda; Arachnida; Ixodida; Ixodidae
Description: partial 16S ribosomal RNA
Source: RNAcentral
GAAAUAAGAUUUUAAAUGAGUGCUAAGAGAAUGAUUAAACAAUUAAAAGCUUUCUUUAAUUAAAAAAUUAAAUUUAAUUUUUUAGUGCAAAAGCAAAAAUAAAAUUUAGGGACAAGAAGACCCUAUGAAUUUUUAUUGUUAAUAAUUAAAAUUUAAGUUAUUAAUAAUUUAAUUGGGGCGAUAAAAAAAGAAUAAGUAUCUUUUUAAUUAUAAAAUAAGUUCCGUUUUUAGCGAUUAAAUGAAAUAAAUACUCUAGGGAUAACAGCGGAAUAAUUUUGGAUAGUUCAUAUAGAUAAAAUAGUUUGCGACCUCGAUGUUGGAUUAGGAUUCUU